CGCAUCUGUGCAUGCAGCAUAUCAAUAAGCGGAGGAAAAGAAACUAACAAGGAUUCCCCUAGUAACGGCGAGUGAAGCGGGAAGAGCUCAAAUUUGAAAUCUUAAAGGGUUUCCCUUUACGAAUUGUAGUUUAAAGAAGUGUUUUCUGUUGAGGUUUUGGUAAAAGUUCUUUGGAAUAGGACAUCAUAGAGGGUGAGAAUCCCGUAUUUGACCUUUACUUUCAACUUUGUGAUACACUUUCAAAGAGUCGGAUUGUUUGGGAAUGCAGUCCAAAAUGGGUGGUAAAUUUCAUCUAAAGCUAAAUAUUGGCGAGAGACCGAUAGCGAACAAGUACCGUGAGGGAAAGAUGAAAAGAACUUUGAAAAGAGAGUUAAACAGUACGUGAAAUUGUCAAAAGGGAAGCGUUUGACACCAGUGUUGUUUUUCUGAAAAUCAAUUAAAGAACUGUUUAUGCUAAGUUGUUUAGACUUUAUCAGCUAACUGUUUAGUUUUGAGCUUUUCUUUAAUGCACUUUUCAGUUAACAAGUCAACAUCAAUUUCUUUUGCUGUAAAAAGCUUGAGGAAGGUGGCUUGAGAUUCGUCUUAAGUGUUUAUAGCCUCUUGCCUAUGCAGUCGGAGAGAUUGAGGUCUGCAGCGUAGAUCCUUCGGGGCUAAAUGCAUUUGUGCUAAGUUAUAGCAUUUUAUAGACAACUUGUUGACUAUGAUUUGUCUUGUAGCUUACUCGCUUAUGUUAUUUUACCUACGCUUAGGAUGUUGACAGCAGUAUAGACUGU
RNAcentral lists this ribosomal RNA (773 nucleotides) under uncultured Neocallimastigales. RNAcentral describes it as "partial large subunit ribosomal RNA". It matches the Rfam family "Eukaryotic large subunit ribosomal RNA", at positions 26 to 637 of the family's 3401-position model. The record is from RNAcentral. Lineage: Eukaryota; Fungi; Neocallimastigomycota; Neocallimastigomycetes; Neocallimastigales.